This 308-nucleotide ribosomal RNA is filed under the name uncultured bacterium. RNAcentral's name for it is "partial 16S ribosomal RNA". It matches the Rfam family "Bacterial small subunit ribosomal RNA", at positions 505 to 807 of the family's 1533-position model. The record is from RNAcentral.
GAGACAGCAGUAGCCGCGGUAAUACGAAGGGUGCAAGCGUUACUCGGAAUUACUGGGCGUAAAGCGUGCGUAGGUGGUGGUUUAAGUCCGUUGUGAAAGCCCUGGGCUCAACCUGGGAAUUGCAGUGGAUACUGGAUCACUAGAGUGUGGUAGAGGAUAGUGGAAUUUCCGGUGUAGCAGUGAAAUGCGUAGAGAUCGGAAGGAACAUCUGUGGCGAAGGCGACUAUCUGGGCCAACACUGACACUGAGGCACGAAAGCGUGGGGAGCAAACAGGAUUAGAUACCCCUGUAGUCCCUGUCUCUUAUAC